CAAUAGCGUAUAUUAAAGUUGUUGCGGUUAAAAAGCUCGUAGUUGGAUUUCUGCCGAGGACGACCGGUCCGCCCUCUGGGUGAGUAUCUGGCUCGGCCUUGGCAUCUUCUUGGAGAACGUUGCUGCACUUGACUGUGUGGCGCGGUAUCCAGGACAUUUACUUUGAGGAAAUUAGAGUGUUUCAAGCAGGCAUACGCCUUGAAUACAUUAGCAUGGAAUAAUAAGAUAGGACCUCGGUUCUAUUUUGUUGGUUUCUAGAGCUGAGGUAAUGAUUAAUAGGGAUAGUUGGGGGCAUUCGUAUUUAACUGUCAGAGGUGAAAUUCUUGGAUUUGUUAAAGACGGACUACUGCGAAANCANNNGCCAAGGAUGUUUUCAUNGA
This 380-nucleotide ribosomal RNA is filed under the name uncultured eukaryote. RNAcentral describes it as "partial 18S ribosomal RNA". It matches the Rfam family "Eukaryotic small subunit ribosomal RNA", at positions 592 to 976 of the family's 1831-position model. The record is from RNAcentral.